AACCCAUGCUAAGGACAUUUCCGCGAGAGAUCCUUGAACUGCUCCCAUAUCUUAAAAAUAGACUCCAAUUCCAUUUGCAUAAAAGAGGAUAUUUCAUUCCUAAGCUU
Small nucleolar RNA from Dioscorea cayenensis subsp. rotundata (Guinea yam), 107 nucleotides. The record is from RefSeq and is a predicted model, not a curated record. NCBI's taxonomy places the organism in Eukaryota, Viridiplantae, Streptophyta, Magnoliopsida, Dioscoreales, Dioscoreaceae.